This 497-nucleotide ribosomal RNA is filed under the name uncultured bacterium. RNAcentral describes it as "partial 16S ribosomal RNA". It matches the Rfam family "Bacterial small subunit ribosomal RNA", at positions 28 to 507 of the family's 1533-position model. The record is from RNAcentral.
GAUGAACGCUGGCGGCGUGCCUAAUACAUGCAAGUCGAGCGAACGGACGAGAAGCUUGCUUCUCUGAUGUUAGCGGCGGACGGGUGAGUAACACGUGGAUAACCUACCUAUCAGACUGGGAUAACUUCGGGAAACCGGAGCUAAUACCGGAUAAUAUUUUGAACCGCAUGGUUCAAAAGUGAAAGACGGUCUUGCUGUCACUUAUAGAUGGAUCCGCGCUGCAUUAGCUAGUUGGUAAGGUAACGGCUUACCAAGGCAACGAUGCAUAGCCGACCUGAGAGGGUGAUCGGCCACACUGGAACUGAGGAACGGUCCACACUCCUACAGGAGGAAGCAGUAGGGAAUCUUCCGCGAUGGGCGAAAGCCUGACGGAGCAACGCCGCGUGAGUGAUGAAGGUCUUCGGAUCGUAAAACUCUGUUAUUAGGGAAGAACAUAUGUGUAAGUAACUGUGCACAUCUUGACGGUACCUAAUCAGAAAGCCACGGCUAACUACGUG